GAUGAGUCUACAGAAGACACAAGAAAUGUUACAAAAUCAUAUUCGAAGAAAGUAGAUGUCCUUUGACAUUUACUACACCUCGGAAUCUCUUUAUUAAGUACAUUCUUCUUUUGUUCUUUCCAAGGUCAUUUAGACCUUUCACUAGACUACUCAAGUCUAUUAUUACAGUCCACUGUCUUAGGUCCUAUUUUAAUCCUUUUAGGAAUAGGAACUUGGACUUUGGCUAGACACCCC
Molecule: long non-coding RNA, 234 nt
Filed under: Solanum tuberosum (potato)
Lineage: Eukaryota; Viridiplantae; Streptophyta; Magnoliopsida; Solanales; Solanaceae
Description: long non-coding RNA (STUB_LNC006184)
Source: RNAcentral